This 329-nucleotide long non-coding RNA is filed under the name Olea europaea subsp. europaea. Lineage: Eukaryota; Viridiplantae; Streptophyta; Magnoliopsida; Lamiales; Oleaceae. The record is from RNAcentral.
CAAUGGAGAAAAAGUAAGAUCUUGAGUAAGCCUUUUGAUUCCAUAUGCACAAGUCGAUGAACUUUUGUACAAACAGAUGGGAUAUUUCAUAUAUUUGAUGUAUAUAACUUCGAAUUCAUCAUGGUUCUGAUUGUAUUCUAGGAAUAUACAUGAGUUUUUCUUUUAAUUUUUACUUUACUUAUUUGUAAACUUGUUCAUUUUCUUUUAAACUUACCUCUUUUUAGACCAAAAAUUGGUUACAAAAUGCUAGAAAUUCUCCCUCAUUUACCUGGGGAUUUUUAAAAAUUCGUGGACUGCCAUUCGGUAUAGAAAUUGCUCAAUCCGCUUCG